CAUUUACACAGUUGGCCAAAUUUCACUGAAGUUUGUUUUUCAGAUUCUACUAGGUGUUUUCAUGUGGCAGUUGCCUAAUUUUUUACUAUAUUUAAGAUUUGUCCUUACGUUUUGGAUAUUCUGCCUUUGUUCUUCACAAAUGCUCAACUGUCAUAGAGGGUCUUCUGAUUUUUUUGGCAUGGGGUCACUCAACUAAAUUAUAGCUAGAUAAUAACUCCAAAGCCUAGUUCUCCUGGCUUUCCCUGCUGACCUACUCAUGUCCAGAUGUUCUCAUUUAUAAAGUGUGAGUCUUUGAAGAGUCAUUCUAAGAUUGCAGACUGCCAGGUUAUAUUCAAUACUCUGGACCUAAAUUAUUUGAUACAUUUUGGAAGAACCUGGUAGGUAGUGAGGAGGUGGGUGGGGUAUGGAGUCUUUGUUAGUCAGGAAAGAACAUUCUACUUGGGUUACUAAGGUAUCAGAUUAUUCAGUAAGGUAGACCAUUAAGAGCUAAGUUGCAUGGUGUGCACCUUAGUGCUUUAGGAAAUCAAAGGAAAGAAAUACCAAUGAGGACAGAAAGAGUUCUCCAGAGGAAGUAGACUGCAACUGUAUUUGUGAAGGAUGAGUGGCUGUGGAUGGAAGAAAAGAACAUUUUCAGUAAGGGGACAUGGUGGGUGAAAUGCUGAGGCAGGGAUGGGCUCAGUGUUCCCAGAGCUGUAAGGACCCCAAGAAAAUUUCACUUGUACUCUAUGUGCUUACUAUUUUUGUCUGUCCAGAGUGAAUCAGUUCUCCUAGAGACAGAUUUGACAGUCUGCACACAUUGAGAUCUGUUUCAUUUUAACUUUUCUUCUUGCUUCUCUCAAAUCUGGCUAAAAUACUAUUCUGGUCAUGUCAUUUUCCUGCUUCAGACCCCUCUAUGGCUCCCUGUUGCUCAGUCUCCUGAAGAUUUCAUGCCAGAUCUUUGCAUCCACCCCGCUCCCCCUGCCACCUUGAGCUUCAUUUAACAUCUGGACCCUUCUCACUUCUUGCGUCCCAGCUCCAGCCACCUGGAACUGGCAACUGCCAUACUCUCUCUUGCCUCUGGCCCCUCACAUAAAGCUCAGGUGUUGGUUUAAACAUCACUUCCACAGGAAGACCGGAUUAGGCUCCACUGCUAUUCCUUCUCACCCCUGCAGUGACCCCUUUCUUUUUUUUUUUUUUUUUUUUGUAUAGACAGCCAUUUUCAAGUUCAAACUCAUGAUCUUGGAGACACUUAGAUUUUCUCACAAAUUAUUUGCACAUUUUUAAUAGACUAUUUUUUAGGUAAUUUUACAUUCACAUUGAAAACUAAUC
RNAcentral lists this long non-coding RNA (1308 nucleotides) under Homo sapiens (human). RNAcentral describes it as "HSALNT0307356". Lineage: Eukaryota; Metazoa; Chordata; Mammalia; Primates; Hominidae. The record is from RNAcentral.